RNAcentral lists this long non-coding RNA (427 nucleotides) under Capsicum annuum. Its description in RNAcentral is "long non-coding RNA (CANN_LNC010645)". Lineage: Eukaryota; Viridiplantae; Streptophyta; Magnoliopsida; Solanales; Solanaceae. The record is from RNAcentral.
AAUAAACGAUAGCUGCACUAAUAAAAAAAACUUAAUCCGUCUUUGCAGGGCUCUUCUGCGGCAAAUGGGGAACCCGCAGGUCCUCCAUGAAGAAAGGAGCACCAAUGUUGUUGAGAAUAGGCUAGCUAAGGAGGGAAAUAAGUUAGUUCAAGACUGUUUUUGUGAAGAAUGGAUAGUUCCACCAAUGUUUGUUUGGAUGCAGUUGGAAUCAGAUAUAAGGCGGAAACUGCACUUGUAGGGCAAUUUAUUAUGCCCAUAUCUAUGGAUGUUUGUAUUUGUAGUGUUAGGGAAGGACUUUCUCCGGCUAGCCUUGUGCCGACUAUGUGUACUAAAGACAUUAACUUUUAGUAGUAAUGAAUAAAUCUCCUUUCUUACCCCCCAAAAAAUAACAAAGGACAGAAAAAAAAAAAUAACUAGAGAGAAUAAA